This 261-nucleotide ribosomal RNA is filed under the name uncultured bacterium. RNAcentral's name for it is "partial 16S ribosomal RNA". It matches the Rfam family "Bacterial small subunit ribosomal RNA", at positions 95 to 354 of the family's 1533-position model. The record is from RNAcentral.
UCGGCGGACGGGUGAGUAACGUGUGGGCAACCUACCUUUUACUGUGGAAUAAUCGUUGGAAACGACGACUAAUACCGCAUACGGUUCUUGGAAGGCAUCUUCUAAGAAAGAAAGGAGUAAUUCGGUAAAAGAUGGGCCCGCAUCUGAUUAGCUAGUUGGUGAGAUAAUAGCCCACCAAGGCAACGAUCAGUAGCCGACCUGAGAGGGUGACCGGCCACAUUGGGACUGAGACACGGCCCAGACUCCUACGGAAGGCAGCAG